GAGUUUGAUCCUGGCUCAGAACGAACGCUGGCGGCAGGCCUAACACAUGCAAGUCGAACGAAGUCUUCGGACUUAGUGGCAGACGGGUGAGUAACGCGUGGGAACCUACCUGGAGGUUCGGAAUAACUCGGGGAAACUCGGGCUAAUACCGGAUACGCCCUUACGGGGAAAGAUUUAUCGCCUUUAGAUGGGCCCGCGUUGGAUUAGCUUGUUGGUGAGGUAAAAGCUCACCAAGGCGACGAUCCAUAGCUGGUCUGAGAGGAUGAUCAGCCACACUGGGACUGAGACACGGCCAGACUCCUACGGGAGGCAGCAGUGAGGAAUAUUCGGCAAUGGGCGCAAGCCUGACCGAGCCAUGCCGCGUGAGUGAAGAAGGCCCUAGGGUUGUAAAGCUCUUUCACCGAUGAAGAUAAUGACGGUAGUCGGAGAAGAAGCCCCGGUAACUUCGUGCCAGCAGCCGGGGUAAUACGAAGGGGGCUAGCGUUGUCGGAAUUACUGGCGUAAGCAAUAGGCGGGAUUGUUUCAGUCCAGGGGUGAAAUCCCGGGGCUCAACCCCGGGACUGCCUCUGAUACUGGAAUCUCGAGUUCCGAGAGAGGUGAGUGAAUCCCGAGUGUA
This 616-nucleotide ribosomal RNA is filed under the name uncultured bacterium. RNAcentral describes it as "bacterial SSU rRNA". It matches the Rfam family "Bacterial small subunit ribosomal RNA", at positions 9 to 677 of the family's 1533-position model. The record is from RNAcentral.